AGGAAGUAAAAGUCGUAACAAGGUUUCCGUAGGUGAACCUGCGGAAGGAUCAUUAGUGAAUUCCAUUAGGAGGUUGAUGCUGGUAGCUGGGGUUUUCCUUGGUUGCAUGUGCUCGCCUCUUGAUAAACCUCUCAAACACCUGUGCACUUUGUAGAAGGGGAGAGAUCCUUCUUCUUUUAUUUACACUCUAAAUUAAUCGUAUUGAACGUGCUCUAUGCUGAAAAGCAUUAAAAUGGUUAAUACAACUUUUAACAACGGAUCUCUUGGCUCUCGCAUCGAUGAAGAACGCAGCGAAAUGCGUUAAGUAAUGUGAAUUGCAGAAUUCAGUGAAUCAUCGAAUCUUUGAACGCACCUUGCGCUCCUUGGUAUUCCGAGGAGCACGCCUGUUCGAGUGUCGUGAAAUUCUCAAGCUUUGGGUGUUUUUCUUGUUGAAAGUUAAUCCCUUGGCUUGGUUGUUGGGCUUUGCAGUGUCCUGUAUUGGAACGGCUGGCCUUAAAAGCAUUAGCUGAUCCUAACAAGUGUUGGUUCUACUCAGUGUGAUAAUGUUUCUGAUCGCUGAGGACAUCUCCUUCGGGUGAUGGCCAGCAUAUGUCUGGGUUGCUUCCAAUCUUGGAUUACAUGGUGAAUCCUUCUGGAUUCCCUGUAUGCCACUUGUAAUUUUGACCUCGAAUCAGGUGGGACUACCCGCUGAACUUAAGCAUAUCA
RNAcentral lists this ribosomal RNA (705 nucleotides) under Clavulina sp. RNAcentral's name for it is "eukaryotic LSU rRNA". The stretch from base 244 to 397 matches the Rfam family "5.8S ribosomal RNA". Lineage: Eukaryota; Fungi; Basidiomycota; Agaricomycetes; Cantharellales; Hydnaceae. The record is from RNAcentral.